GUAGGGUGCAAGCGUUAAUCGGAAUUACUGGGCGUAAAGCGUGCGCAGGCGGUUUUGUAAGUCUGUCGUGAAAGCCCCGGGCUCAACCUGGGAAUUGCGAUGGAGACUGCAAGGCUUGAAUCUGGCAGAGGGGGGUAGAAUUCCACGUGUAGCAGUGAAAUGCGUAGAGAUGUGGAGGAACACCGAUGGCGAAGGCAGCCCCCUGGGUCAAGAUUGACGCUCAUGCACGAAAGCGUGGGGAGCAAACAGGAUUAGAUACCCUGGUAGUCCACGCCCCUAAACGAUGUCUACUAGUUGUCGGGUUUUAAUUAACUUGGUAACGCAGCUAACGCGUGAAGUAGACCGCCCCGGGGAGUACGGUCGCAAGAUUA
RNAcentral lists this ribosomal RNA (371 nucleotides) under uncultured organism. RNAcentral describes it as "partial 16S ribosomal RNA". It matches the Rfam family "Bacterial small subunit ribosomal RNA", at positions 527 to 896 of the family's 1533-position model. The record is from RNAcentral.